Molecule: small nucleolar RNA, 69 nt
Filed under: Cyprinodon variegatus (sheepshead minnow)
Lineage: Eukaryota; Metazoa; Chordata; Actinopteri; Cyprinodontiformes; Cyprinodontidae
Description: Small nucleolar RNA U54 (ENSCVAG00000019804.1)
Rfam family: Small nucleolar RNA U54
Source: Rfam by way of RNAcentral
AAGCAAUGAGGAUAAAAAAUUUUAUCAGUCAUUAACUGUGGUGACCAAAUACGCUAUUCUGAGCUGUGG